CCUAGCAGACCGAGUUCUGCCGAGGGCCCUCUUCCUGGUUGGCAGAUCUACUCACUGUAUCUGCACAUGGGACACAGCUGACAGAGGAAGCAAGCGCUCUGCCACUUCAUCAGGACUAAUUCCAUUCAUGAAGGCUUGCAACAAUUUGGAUAAAGGUCCAGGCCACCUCCCCUCCCUUCACUCUCCUCUACCUAAUCCAUCUCACUCCAGUCAGAAUGGCAAUUACCAAGAAUACAAGCAACAAUAAAUGUUGGUGAGGAUGUGGGGACACAUUGCUGGUGGGACUGCAAACUGGCUCAACCAUUA
This 306-nucleotide long non-coding RNA is filed under the name Ictidomys tridecemlineatus (thirteen-lined ground squirrel). Its description in RNAcentral is "lncRNA (ENSSTOG00000033995.1)". Lineage: Eukaryota; Metazoa; Chordata; Mammalia; Rodentia; Sciuridae. The record is from RNAcentral.